Sphaeramia orbicularis (orbiculate cardinalfish) is the source of this 586-nucleotide non-coding RNA. Lineage: Eukaryota; Metazoa; Chordata; Actinopteri; Kurtiformes; Apogonidae. The record is from the annotation of a RefSeq genome assembly.
CUACAAACCAGGAACAUUCCCUUGAUUCAACAUGCUGGACCUGGAUUACUGGAUGGUUUAUGGGUUGAUUCUAACCAUUACAACACGUGUCGACUGUGAAGAACUGAGUCCAGUCAAGAAUGAAGAGUCCAGUUUAGAAGGAAACUCUGUUACUCUCACAUAUAAAUACUCUAAAACAGUGACAGUCAGUGAUGAGUUCUACUGGUAUCAACAAUAUCCAGGAAAACCACCUGAGUUUUUAAUCCUUCACCUUGGAACACAAAAUGCAUCAAACCAUAGAAUGUUUGUGGAAGCACAUGGAGAAAAGGUCCAAGUGAAAAUCUCCUCUGCUGCAGUGUCAGACUCUGCUGUGUACUACUGUGCUGUGAGGCCCACAGUGACAGGAAACAGCAAAACUCUGAACAAAAACCUCUGGAGUAAAGACAACACAGUACUACACAACAUCCACUAGAGGGCGACAUCAUCAGGUCGGUGCUGCGUGACUUGUGCACUGUGUUCAACCAUUCAGUCAAUAAUAACUGCUGCUGUGCAGAGAACAGUUCUCACACUGAAUGUUGAACAUCAGCCACUUUGUCCUGUUGAUUUC